This 770-nucleotide long non-coding RNA is filed under the name Homo sapiens (human). RNAcentral describes it as "HSALNT0341753". The record is from RNAcentral. Lineage: Eukaryota; Metazoa; Chordata; Mammalia; Primates; Hominidae.
AUUAAUUAUAAAUUAAGUUAUUUUUGGAUAUUAAUGCUAUGUAAUUUGUAGAUUGAAAUAUUCAUUAGUAUAGAACUUGGGCUAUUUUAAUGUAUCUGCACUGAGUUGAAGACAUAUUUUACUUGAAUACUUGGGCACAAGAAAACAGACUGUCAUGUCAUCUACCAUUGUUACACUAGUGCAUCUUUCUCAGCUCACAACUGUGGUUUUGUGUUUCCUUCUAGACCUGCUGGCAGAAAAGGAGAAAUGCUGUACGAGGUUUAUGAAUAGGUCAGUUUGGUAUACAAACUGAAGCCCUAAGUGGACUGCUACUACUAUUGCAGGAACACAGCACACAAGAAAAGGUGUCUGUCUUUCCUGUGUAAUGGACAGGUUUUGAAUCGUGGGCCCAGAAGGAUUGUCUGAAUUAUAAGGAAUGUCCAUUUGUGCUUUAGCAACUUGAAGCUUCAGUGAAAAGAAUCAGAACACAGAGAAAACUUGCUGCUAGGACAAAAAUGAAGGAAAGAAUCAUCCCAGGAUGGUGAUACUCGGGUUACAGGCUCACAGGCAGAAGGGACUUGGCCUUUCUCAGAUGAGACUUUGGACUGUGGACUUCAGAGGUAAUGCUGAAAUGAGUUGACUUUGGGGGGACUGUUGGGAUGGCAUGAUUGGUUAUGAAAUGUGAUGACAUGAGAUUUUGGGAGGAGCCAGCUACCGCUCAUAAGGUUUCACUCUCUGUCCCCACUCAAAUCUCAUCUUGAAUUGUACUCCCAUAAUUCCCAUGUGCUAUG